RNAcentral lists this long non-coding RNA (303 nucleotides) under Struthio camelus australis. Its description in RNAcentral is "lncRNA (ENSSCUG00000007133.1)". The record is from RNAcentral. Lineage: Eukaryota; Metazoa; Chordata; Aves; Struthioniformes; Struthionidae.
AUGGAAAAAAUAACCAAGUUCAUCAGAGAUGAAGGAUCUGUCUUUCGUUAUUACAGGAUAUUUAUUGGAGGACUGCUGGGAAUUUUCCUAGCUCUGGUAGACGAGACUGCUGGCAGAGUUGACCUUAACAGAGACAUGGACCUGCUUUUCAAAGGUCUCUACGGACACGCAGCUGUCAGUCAAUUCAACAGGGAUUUCCAGAAUUUCAUGUGUAUUCUGAGUGGCAAUAUUAAAGUUAGUGAAAACCUUGCUUACUUCUGUCUCUAAAAUAAAGCAUAUGUUUUCUAUGGGGAGAUGGAUGCA